RNAcentral lists this ribosomal RNA (88 nucleotides) under Escherichia coli. RNAcentral describes it as "partial 16S ribosomal RNA". It matches the Rfam family "Bacterial small subunit ribosomal RNA", at positions 1 to 87 of the family's 1533-position model. RNAcentral also lists the same sequence under 3 other names. Lineage: Bacteria; Pseudomonadati; Pseudomonadota; Gammaproteobacteria; Enterobacterales; Enterobacteriaceae. The record is from RNAcentral.
UUAAAUUGAAGAGUUUGAUCAUGGCUCAGAUUGAACGCUGGCGGCAGGCCUAACACAUGCAAGUCGAACGGUAACAGGAAACAGCUUG